GAGUUUAUAAAUAGUCAAUUUGACGACUGGCUAGCACCUUUUAAGCCUAAAUUAACCUAUUUUUCAUUGAUUUGAUGUUAAUCUCCAACUUAAUGCUUAUUUGUGUAGGCAAAAGUUUAAAAGUGAAGAUGAGCAAGUCAUUCAAGUCAACAAGAGUUCAAAUGUGAAAGAAAUGAGUCAUCUAUUUUGUAUUCGCUUUGCAUCUUCUUUGGAUCUGAUUUCCAUCUACUUUCUACCUG
RNAcentral lists this long non-coding RNA (239 nucleotides) under Capsicum annuum. RNAcentral describes it as "long non-coding RNA (CANN_LNC015424)". The record is from RNAcentral. Lineage: Eukaryota; Viridiplantae; Streptophyta; Magnoliopsida; Solanales; Solanaceae.